Molecule: ribosomal RNA, 253 nt
Filed under: uncultured bacterium
Lineage: Bacteria
Description: partial 16S ribosomal RNA
Rfam family: Bacterial small subunit ribosomal RNA
Source: RNAcentral
UACGUAGGGUGCGAGCGUUAAUCGGAAUUACUGGGCGUAAAGCGUGCGCAGGCGGUUCGCUGUGUCCGAUGUGAAAGCCCCGGGCUUAACCUGGGAAUGGCAUUGGAAACUGGCGGGCUUGAGUGCGGCAGAGGGGGGUGGAAUUCCGCGUGUAGCAGUGAAAUGCGUAGAUAUGCGGAGGAACACCGAUGGCGAAGGCAGUCCCCUGGGCCUGUACUGAUGCUCAUGCACGAAAGCGUGGGGAGCAAACAGG